UUUGAUCCUGGCUCAGAUUGAACGCUGGCGGCAUGCCUUACACAUGCAAGUCGAACGGCAGCGCGGGGCAACCUGGCGGCGAGUGGCGAACGGGUGAGUAAUAUAUCGGAACGUACCCUGGAGUGGGGGAUAACGUAGCGAAAGUUACGCUAAUACCGCAUACGAUCUACGGAUGAAAGUGGGGGAUCGCAAGACCUCAUGCUCCUGGAGCGGCCGAUAUCUGAUUAGCUAGUUGGUAGGGUAAAAGCCUACCAAGGCAUCGAUCAGUAGCUGGUCUGAGAGGACGACCAGCCACACUGGAACUGAGACACGGUCCAGACUCCUACGGGAGGCAGCAGUGGGGAAUUUUGGACAAUGGGCGCAAGCCUGAUCCAGCAAUGCCGCGUGAGUGAAGAAGGCCUUCGGGUUGUAAAGCUCUUUUGUCAGGGAAGAAACGGGUUUUUCUAAUACAGAGAUCUAAUGACGGUACCUGAAGAAUAAGCACCGGCUAACUACGUG
RNAcentral lists this ribosomal RNA (498 nucleotides) under uncultured Duganella sp. RNAcentral's name for it is "bacterial SSU rRNA". It matches the Rfam family "Bacterial small subunit ribosomal RNA", at positions 12 to 507 of the family's 1533-position model. Lineage: Bacteria; Pseudomonadati; Pseudomonadota; Betaproteobacteria; Burkholderiales; Oxalobacteraceae. The record is from RNAcentral.